Unclassified non-coding RNA from Papio anubis (olive baboon), 149 nucleotides. It matches the Rfam family "Metazoan signal recognition particle RNA". Rfam says of the family: The signal recognition particle (SRP) is a universally conserved ribonucleoprotein. It is involved in the co-translational targeting of proteins to membranes. The record is from Ensembl. NCBI's taxonomy places the organism in Eukaryota, Metazoa, Chordata, Mammalia, Primates, Cercopithecidae.
GCUGGGCAUGGUGGCACAGGCCUGUAGUCCCAGCUACUUGUGGGGGCUGAGGCUGGAGGAUCGCUUGAGCCCAGGAGGUUGAGGCUGCAGUGAGCCGAGAUCGAGCCACUGCACUCUAGCCUGGGUAACAAAGUGAGACCUAGUUUCAA